AACGCACAUUGCGCCCCCUGGUAUUCCGGGGGGCAUGCCUGUUCGAGCGUCAUUUCACCACUCAAGCCUCGCUUGGUAUUGGGCGACGCGGUCCGCCGCGCGCCUCAAAUCGACCGGCUGGGUCUUCUGUCCCCUCAGCGUUGUGGAAACUAUUCGCUAAAGGGUGCCCGGGAGGCUACGCCGUAAAACAACCCCAUUUCUAAGGUUGACCUCGGAUCAGGUAGGGAUACCCGCUGAACUUAA
RNAcentral lists this unclassified non-coding RNA (243 nucleotides) under uncultured Capnodiales. Its description in RNAcentral is "sequence contains 5.8S rRNA gene, ITS2, 28S rRNA gene". The stretch from base 1 to 52 matches the Rfam family "5.8S ribosomal RNA", at positions 103 to 154 of the family's 154-position model. Lineage: Eukaryota; Fungi; Ascomycota; Dothideomycetes; Capnodiales. The record is from RNAcentral.